UACAGAGGUCCCAAGCGUUGUUCGGAUUCACUGGGCGUAAAGGGCGCGUAGGCGGCGCGGUAAGUCACUUGUGAAAUCUCUGAGCUUAACUCAGAACGGCCAAGUGAUACUGCAGUGCUAGAGUGUGGAAGGGGCAAUCGGAAUUCUUGGUGUAGCGGUGAAAUGCGUAGAUAUCAAGAGGAACACCUGAGGUGAAGACGGGUUGCUGGGCCAACACUGACGCUGAUGCGCGAAAGCCAGGGGAGCAAACGGG
Molecule: ribosomal RNA, 253 nt
Filed under: uncultured bacterium
Lineage: Bacteria
Description: partial 16S ribosomal RNA
Rfam family: Bacterial small subunit ribosomal RNA
Source: RNAcentral